GGGAGCUCAAACGCCUCAAGGUGCUGCGGCUCAAGAGCAACCUAAGCAAGCUGCCACAGGUGGUCACAGAUGUGGGCGUGCACCUGCAGAAGCUGUCCAUCAACAAUGAGGGCACCAAGCUCAUCGUCCUCAACAGCCUCAAGAAGAUGGCGAACCUGACUGAGCUGGAGCUGAUCCGCUGUGACCUGGAGCGCAUCCCCCACUCCAUCUUCAGCCUCCACAACCUGCAGGAGAUUGACCUCAAGGACAACAACCUCAAGACCAUCGAGGAGAUCAUCAGCUUCCAGCACCUGCACCGCCUCACCUGCCUUAAGCUGUGGUACAACCACAUCGCCUACAUCCCCAUCCAGAUCGGCAACCUCACCAACCUGGAGCGCCUCUACCUGAACCGCAACAAGAUCGAGAAGAUCCCCACCCAGCUCUUCUACUGCCGCAAGCUGCGCUACCUGGACCUCAGCCACAACAACCUGACCUUCCUCCCUGCCGACAUCGGCCUCCUGCAGAACCUCCAGAACCUAGCCAUCACGGCCAACCGGAUCGAGACGCUCCCUCCGGAGCUCUUCCAGUGCCGGAAGCUGCGGGCCCUGCACCUGGGCAACAACGUGCUGCAGUCACUGCCCUCCAGGGUGGGCGAGCUGACCAACCUGACGCAGAUCGAGCUGCGGGGCAACCGGCUGGAGUGCCUGCCUGUGGAGCUGGGCGAGUGCCCACUGCUCAAGCGCAGCGGCUUGGUGGUGGAGGAGGACCUGUUCAACACACUGCCACCCGAGGUGAAGGAGCGGCUGUGGAGGGCUGACAAGGAGCAGGCCUGAGCGAGGCCGGCCCAGCACAGCAAGCAGCAGGACCGCUGCCCAGUCCUCAGGCCCGGAGGGGCAGGCCUAGCUUCUCCCAGAACUCCCGGACAGCCAGGACAGCCUCGUGGCUGGGCAGGAGCCUGGGGCCGCUUGUGAGUCAGGCCAGAGCGAGAGGACAGUAUCUGUGGGGCUGGCCCCUUUUCUCCCUCUGAGACUCACGUCCCCCAGGGCAAGUGCUUGUGGAGGAGAGCAAGUCUCAAGAGCGCAGUAUUUGGAUAAUCAGGGUCUCCUCCCUGGAGGCCAGCUCUGCCCCAGGGGCUGAGCUGCCACCAGAGGUCCUGGGACCCUCACUUUAGUUCUUGGUAUUUAUUUUUCUCCAUCUCCCACCUCCUUCAUCCAGAUAACUUAUACAUUCCCAAGAAAGUUCAGCCCAGAUGGAAGGUGUUCAGGGAAAGGUGGGCUGCCUUUUCCCCUUGUCCUUAUUUAGCGAUGCCGCCGGGCAUUUAACACCCACCUGGACUUCAGCAGAGUGGUCCGGGGCGAACCAGCCAUGGGACGGUCACCCAGCAGUGCCGGGCUGGG
RNAcentral lists this long non-coding RNA (1376 nucleotides) under Homo sapiens (human). RNAcentral's name for it is "long non-coding RNA NONHSAT220241.1". The record is from RNAcentral. Lineage: Eukaryota; Metazoa; Chordata; Mammalia; Primates; Hominidae.